RNAcentral lists this unclassified non-coding RNA (276 nucleotides) under Funneliformis mosseae. Its description in RNAcentral is "partial contains 5.8S ribosomal RNA and internal transcribed spacer 2". The stretch from base 1 to 71 matches the Rfam family "5.8S ribosomal RNA", at positions 84 to 154 of the family's 154-position model. Lineage: Eukaryota; Fungi; Glomeromycota; Glomeromycetes; Glomerales; Glomeraceae. The record is from RNAcentral.
GUGAAUCAUCAAAUCUUUGAACGCAAAUUGCACUCCCUGGUAUUCCGGGGAGUAUGCCUGUUUGAGGGUCGUUAGAACAAAAAUCCAAGCGUCGCUCUUUUUUUUUAGGGGUAACGCGGCGGCAUUUAACCGUCUUUCCAAUGUUAAUUCAUUUUAAAGUGGCUUAAAAUUCAUCCAUCCGGUACGAUUAAAUCGUUUUUAAGAUCAAUUUUGAUUAAAAACACGCGAUGAACGUACCAUCUCAUGUAGUACGUUUGACCUGGGUCGUCAGGAUCA